GGGACAGAGAGAAAGGGAGAGAGAGACUCCCAAGCAGGCUCUGUGCUGUCACCGUAAAGCCUGAUGCUGGCUUUGAUCCCAUGAACGUUGAGAUCAUGACCCGAGCUGAAAUCAAGAGUCAGAUGCUUAACUGACUGAGCCACACAGGCACCCCAUGUAAUAAGGUAUUGUUUCCAUGGAAACAAGGCCCAAAGUUCCACUCUAACCAACAGAACUGAUAGGAUGGAAGUAUGUCAGGGAGGGGUACUUGUCCAAUCCUGGGCCUGAGUUAUGCACUGACUGAGGAAGCCAGCUUCCUGUGGACUGGCCCAAGGUAAAUAGGCAUCUGAGAGCCGCACUGCUGUGGUGGAGUGGUGUCAGACAGAUCUAGAUGCACAUCUCACUGCUGCCACUUAAGCUUCGUCUAAUAUGUUUGGAGAGGAAAACGUUGUGAGGACACAUAGGAGAACACCAUGUGAAGAUGGAGGGUUGGCCUGAUGCAUCUGUCCUACUGAUGGAAGAACAAGCCAAAAUGUGGGAGGAAGAAAUGGAAACAACAGACAGCUGGGUGUUGCUAUAGAAUUUCGUAACUGGAAGGUGUCUCCUGGUCACUUUUGGGUCAGAAACUGUAGCUUGGAGACUCUAGGUCACCACUGCCCAGCCAGAAUGAGGAUCUCCUUCCUGAACAGAUGGCCUGGGACUUAGCCUCUCCAGGAGGAACGAUAGUCUUGACUAAAAUCAGUGCCUCUCUGAGUGUGGCCUCGCUGCAGGUGCUGCCCCCGGACAACAAAUAGAAAACUGGAACAGCAAACAACAAAGACCAAUUACUUCAGUUAGAGGUGGCUGCCAUUAUCAUUCUCAAUUGACAUAUGAGGAUACGAGCUCAGAGAAGUUAAAUAACUUGUCAAAGGUCACCCAUCUUUUGAGAGCAAAACCCAGGAUGCAACCCCUGCUUGCCAGUCCAGUCCUAAAACCUGUGGUCCGUCCCACUUCUCCAUGGUGCUUCUUAUGUAGCAGGAAGAUGUCUUUGACAGAGGAGACCAACGUUGCUGUGUCCAACCUAUUUCUUCUAUCAUCUCUGCAGGUUCAUAAACUGCAAAUACUGCUCUUUGUUUGAACACUGUAGAAGACACUGACGCACCAGAGCUGUACCAUAUGAUUACCGUUGGCCAGCUGCCACCAUGCUUAAUCAUGGCCAGCACUGUCCAAGAUGGGCAUUGGCCCUCUGGUUCCUGCUGUGUGAAGUCAGAUGAGGAUUCCAGCAUAUGCGCUCUUUUCAACAAGAGGGCUCUUUCCAGCAAAGCCACGCCUGGUUUCUGUGUUUUGAAAAUAAUGAAUGUAAAACCACAAGAAAAAAAUUAUAUCCUUCAAAUCAAUAAGAACCAAACAGAUUUUUUCCUCCCACCGGGUAAUAGCCAACUAGUUAGGAAGUUCAGCAUCUGGCUUCUGAUUUGAAGUGUAAAACUGAUUGACUUGCUGUUAAAAUUAGAUGUGAAGAGGGGAAGGCAGAUAGAUACUCCAUAAUCAUUUUGAACUGAGCUAUUGAAGGUUAGAAAACAAAAAAAUUUUUAAAUGUGUCUUUGCCUAAUUAAAAACAAACUCUGGGAACAAAAUCGAAUCAGGUAGCUUAUUUACAGAGAAAAAACCCCAUCUCUUACUGUC
This is a long non-coding RNA of Panthera uncia (snow leopard), 1641 nucleotides long. RefSeq lists it as uncharacterized. The record is from RefSeq and is a predicted model, not a curated record. NCBI's taxonomy places the organism in Eukaryota, Metazoa, Chordata, Mammalia, Carnivora, Felidae. The transcript is spliced from 8 exons.